CUACGGGGUGCUGCAGCGAGGAAUAUUGCACAAUGGGGGGAACCCUGAUGCAGCAACGCCGCGUGGAGGAUGACGCAUUUCGGUGUGUAAACUCCUUUUAUAUGUCAAGAAAAUGACGGUAGCAUAUGAAUAAGCACCGGCUACACUCCGUGCCAGCAGCCGCGGUAAUACGGAGGGUGCAAGCGUUACUCGGAAUCACUGGGCGUAAAGGACGCGUAGGCGGGUUGGAAAGUCAGGUGUGAAAUCCUACAGCUUAACUGUAGAACUGCACUUGAAACUUCUAAUCUAGAGUAUGGGAGGGGGAGAUGGAAUUAGUGGUGUAGGGGUAAAAUCCGUAGAUAUCACUAGGAAUACCUAAAGCGAAGGCGAUCUCCUGGAACAUUACUGACGCUAAGGCGUGAAAGCGUGGGGUGCAAACAGGAUUAGAUACCCCCGUAGUC
This 440-nucleotide ribosomal RNA is filed under the name uncultured bacterium. Its description in RNAcentral is "partial 16S ribosomal RNA". It matches the Rfam family "Bacterial small subunit ribosomal RNA", at positions 339 to 795 of the family's 1533-position model. The record is from RNAcentral.